AGUGAACGCUGGCGGUAGGCCUAACACAUGCAAGUCGAACGGCAGCACAGUAAGAGCUUGCUCUUACGGGUGGCGAGUGGCGGACGGGUGAGGAAUACAUCGGAAUCUACUUUUUCGUGGGGGAUAACGUAGGGAAACUUACGCUAAUACCGCAUACGACCUACGGGUGAAAGCAGGGAAUCUUCGGACCUUGCGCGAUUGGAUGAGCCGAUGUCGGAUUAGCUAGUUGGCGGGGUAAAGGCCCACCAAGGCGACGAUCCGUAGCUGGUCUGAGAGGAUGAUCAGCCACACUGGAACUGAGACACGGUCCAGACUCCUACGGGAGGCAGCAGUGGGGAAUAUUGGACAAUGGGCGCAAGCCUGAUCCAGCCAUACCGCGUGGGUGAAGAAGGCCUUCGGGUUGUAAAGCCCUUUUGUUGGGAAAGAAAAGCAGCAGGUUAAUACCCCGCUGUUCUGACGGUACCCAAAGAAUAAGCACCGGCUAACUUCGUG
RNAcentral lists this ribosomal RNA (492 nucleotides) under uncultured bacterium. RNAcentral describes it as "partial 16S ribosomal RNA". It matches the Rfam family "Bacterial small subunit ribosomal RNA", at positions 29 to 507 of the family's 1533-position model. The record is from RNAcentral.